GGUCCGCUGGCUCAAUGGCAGAGCGUCUGACUACGGCCUGAUCUUGAGAAUCACUGAUGUCCUCAAGACUAAACCGUGCAAUCAGGAGGUUCCAGGUUCGACCCCUGGGUGGAUCG
This 116-nucleotide transfer RNA is filed under the name Thermochaetoides thermophila DSM 1495. RNAcentral's name for it is "Chaetomium thermophilum var. thermophilum DSM 1495 tRNA". It matches the Rfam family "tRNA". Rfam says of the family: Transfer RNA (tRNA) molecules are approximately 80 nucleotides in length. Their secondary structure includes four short double-helical elements and three loops (D, anti-codon, and T loops). The record is from Rfam by way of RNAcentral. Lineage: Eukaryota; Fungi; Ascomycota; Sordariomycetes; Sordariales; Chaetomiaceae.